RNAcentral lists this ribosomal RNA (781 nucleotides) under uncultured Neocallimastigales. Its description in RNAcentral is "partial large subunit ribosomal RNA". It matches the Rfam family "Eukaryotic large subunit ribosomal RNA", at positions 22 to 647 of the family's 3401-position model. Lineage: Eukaryota; Fungi; Neocallimastigomycota; Neocallimastigomycetes; Neocallimastigales. The record is from RNAcentral.
CAUAGCGACUAUCGUGGCAUAUCAAUAAGCGGAGGAAAAGAAACUAACAAGGAUUCCCUUAGUAACGGCGAGUGAAGCGGGAAGAGCUCAAAUUUGAAAUCUUCAAGGUUUUACCUUGACGAAUUGUAGUUUAUAGAAGUGUUUUCUGUUAGUGAAGUUUGGUAAAAGUUCUUUGGAAUAGGACAUCAUAGAGGGUGAGAAUCCCGUAUUUGGUCAUUCCUCCUAGCGUUGUGAUACACUUUCAACGAGUCGGAUUGUUUGGGAAUGCAGUCCAAAAUGGGUGGUAAAUUUCAUCUAAAGCUAAAUAUUGGCGAGAGACCGAUAGCGAACAAGUACCGUGAGGGAAAGAUGAAAAGAACUUUGAAAAGAGAGUUAAACAGUACGUGAAAUUGUCAAAAGGGAAGCGUUUGACACCAGUGUUGUUUUUCCGAAAAUCAAUUACGAAUGUUUUAUUUUUGAGGAGUUAUGACUUCAUCGGCUUGCUCCUUUCUUUAUCGAAACUUUCUUAAUGCACUUUUCGGUUAACAAGUCAACAUCAAUUUUCUUUUGUUGUAAAAGGGUAUGAGGAAGGUGGCUUUCUUUUCGGAGAAAGUGUUUAUAGCCUUGUGCCUCUGCAAUCGGAGAGAUUGAGGUCUGCAGCGUAGAUCCUUCGGGGUUAGAUACGUUUGUGCUAAGUUAUAGCUUUUCUAUAGACAACUUGUUGACUAUGUUUCAGUCAUGUAGCUUACUCGCAUGACGCUAUUUUACCUACGCUUAGGAUGUUGACGAGACUGUCGAUCUC